CCCCAAAAGGGGUCAUAACUGGCCACCAAUGGCAAUGGCAUUGGCCAUUGUUUUGAUUUCAACUAGUGUGGUUUCUGCUGCUGCAGAUAGUUAUAUUUACUCUUCUCCUCCACCACCUUACGAGUAUAAGUCGCCACCGCCACCAUCACCUUCACCACCACCUCCUUAUGUUUACAAAUCGCCACCUCCUCCAUCCCCAUCACCUCCACCACCUUAUGAGCACAAGGCUCCUGCUUAUGAGUACAAGUCACCACCACCACCAACUCCUUCACCACCACCUCCUUAUGUGUACAAGUCACCACCACCGCCAUCUCCUUCACCACCACCUCCUUAUGUGUACAAGUCACCACCACCACCCUCACCUUCCCCACCACCACCAUACUACUACAAGAGUCCUCCACCACCUUCUCCUUCACCUCCACCUCCUUACUACUACAAAUCUCCUCCACCACCCUCACCUUCCCCACCACCACCAUACUAUUACAAGUCUCCUCCACCACCAUCUCCCUCACCUCCACCACCAUAUUACUACAAGUCUCCCCCACCACCCUCACCCUCCCCUCCACCCCCAUAUAUACACAAGGAUCCACCAUACUAUUACAAGUCCCCACCACCACCUUCACCAUCUCCUCCACCACCAUACUACUACAAAUCUCCCCCACCCCCUUCACCGUCUCCUCCACCACCAUACUACUACAAAUCUCCUCCUCCUCCAUCUCCUAUUCCCAAAACACCUUACUACUACAAAUCUCCCCCACCCCCUUCACCAUCUCCUCCACCACCAUACUACUACAAAUCUCCCCCACCCCCUUCACCGUCUCCUCCACCACCAUACUACUAUAAAUCUCCCCCACCACCGUCACCCUCUCCACCACCACCUUACUAUUACAAGUCUCCUCCCCCACCUUCACCAUCUCCUCCACCACCAUACUACUACAAAUCUCCUCCUCCUCCAUCUCCUAUUCCCCAUACACCUUACUAUUACAAAUCUCCCCCACCACCUUCACCAUCUCCUCCACCACCAUACUACUACAAAUCUCCUCCUCCUCCAUCUCCUAUUCCCCGUACACCUUACUAUUACAAAUCUCCCCCACCACCUUCACCAUCUCCUCCACCACCAUACUACUACAAAUCCCCUCCUCAUCCAUCUCCCAUUCCCCAUACACCUUACUAUUACACAUCUCCCCCACCACCUUCACCGUCUCCUCCACCACCAUAUUACUACAAAUCUCCUCCCCCUCCGUCUCCUAUUCCCCACACACCUUACUACUACAAGUCCCCACCACCACCAAAGGUCCUUCCACCACCAUACUAUUACAAUUCUCCUCCUCCACCUGUUGUGUAUCCUCACCCAUAUCCCUACCACCACUCACUUAUUGUGAGGGUAGUCGGUAAAGUCUACAGCUUCAGAUGUUAUGAUUGGAAUUAUCCUGCAAAGUCUCAUAACAAGAAACAUCUCAAAGGUACAUUACAUUUCUUAGGACCGGACCUCUUUAGAGUAAUGUGUUUAGAGAUAAUGCACAAUUUUUUAUUUUUUUAUCUCGUAAAGGUUUAUUUAUUAUAAUCACAAUUUCACUUUUGUCAAAAAGAAAAACAAUUUUACUAUAUAUAGUUUUAAUCAUUAACAUUUUGAUGUAAAAAGAAUACAAUUCUCUAUUACCUUUUUACUAUGAUAUAUAUACAAAGAUUAUUCAAAUCUAUAUAUCCAACCUAAUUUCCAUCCAAAAAAAUAGAAAACAUAGGGUGCUUUGAACGCCUGCAGCAUCACAUGAAUAAAUAAAAACAAUCAAUAAUCAACCUUGUUCUAAUUUAUUUUAGACAGCGAUUGUUAAGCAUACUGCUCUUUUAAUUACAUUUUUUUUAAAGAUGCUCUUUUAAUUAUAUUGUCCUAAUAUAAUAUGUGUCUUUAUAUAUUACUUGUCGUAAACUAAUUUUAUUAUGGGUGCAGGAGCUGUUGUUGAGGUGACAUGCAAAGCCGGGAGCAAAAUUGUCAAGGCUUAUGGAAAAACUAAGAACAAUGGAAAGUAUGCCAUCACAGUUAAGGACUUUGACUAUGUCAAAUAUGGUUCGACAGUGUGCAAGGCUGCCCUAUAUGCUCCACCUAAGGGUUCACCCUUCAACAUACCUACAAAGCUAAAUCAAGGAACAAAGUUGUACUUGAAAUCCAAAGACAAGUACGAGGUUGUGCUCAAGGCUAAGCCAUUUGCUUAUGCUUCAAAGAAACAUUUCAAAGAAUGUGAGAAGCCUAAGCCUUCACCAACUCCUUACUACUACAAAUCACCUCCACCUCCCUCACCAGUUUACAAAUACAACUCACCACCUCCACCGGUCCAUUAUUAUUCACCUCCAUACACCUACAAGUCACCUCCUCCCCCUGUGAAAGCGGCACCAACUCCUUACUACUACAAAUCACCUCCACCACCCGCACCGGUUUACAAGUACAACUCACCCCCUCCACCGGUCCAUUAUUAUUCACCACCAUAUACCUAUAAGUCACCUCCUCCCCCUGUGAAAGCGGCACCAACUCCUUACUACUACAAAUCACCUCCACCUCCCGCACCGGUUUACAAGUACAACUCCCCACCUCCACCGGUCCAUUAUUAUUCACCUCCAUAUACCUACAAGUCACCUCCUCCCCCUGUGAAAGUGGCACCAACUCCUUACUACUACAAAUCACCUCCACCACCCGCACCGGUUUACAAGUACAACUCACCACCUCCACCGGUCCAUUAUUAUUCUCCACCAUACUACUACAAGUCACCACCCCCACCAUCUCCAUCACCUCCUCCACCAUACUAUUUCAAAUACUAUUACAAGUCCCCACCUCCACCAUCACCAUCCCCUCCUCCACCUUAUUAUUACAAAUCUCCUCCUCCACCAAAACAAAUUUCACACCCUCCAUACUACUAUAAGUCACCACCCCCACCAUCACCAUCACCUCCUCCACCAUACUAUUAUAAGUCUCCACCUCCACCAUCACCAUCUCCCCCACCACCUUAUUAUUAUAAGUCACCACCCCCACCAUCCCCGUCCCCUCCUCCACCAUACUACUACAAGUCUCCACCUCCACCUAAAGAAAUAUCACAUCCUCCAUAUAACUAUAAGUCACCACCCCCACCAUCACCAUCCCCUCCCCCUCCAUACUAUUACAAAUCUCCUCCACCACCAUCACCAUCACCACCACCUCCCUACUAUUACAAAUCACCUCCACCACCAUCACCAUCACCUCCCCCUCCAUACUAUUACAAAUCUCCUCCACCACCAUCACCAUCACCACCACCUCCUUACUAUUACAAAUCACCUCCACCACCAUCCCCAUCACCACCACCUCCAUACUACUACAAAAGUCCCCCUCCACCAUCUCCAUCUCCUCCAUCCCCAUAUUACUACAAAUCUCCACCACCACCAUCACCAUCCCCACCCCCUCCCUACUAUUACAAAUCACCUCCACCUCCCUCACCAUCACCGCCACCUCCUUACUAUUACAAAUCACCUCCACCUCCCUCACCAUCACCGCCACCUCCUUACUAUUACAAAUCUCCCCCACCUCCAUCUCCAUCUCCACCACCUCCUUACCACUAUCAAAGUCCUCCUCCACCAUCUCCCAUUUCUCAUCCUCCCUACUACUACAAAUCCCCUCCACCACCAUCGCCGUCUCCUCCACCUCCUUACCACUAUGUGAGUCCUCCCCCACCAGUAAAGUCACCUCCACCACCAACUUAUAUCUAUGCUUCACCACCACCACCUCACUACAACUAAGCUCAAAGAGCAGAAGCUCCGUUCAUUAUAAAUCAUGUAAGUUUAUCAUCUUCAAUUUUCUGAAUGUGUGCGUGUGUAUUUGUUUUUUUGUUACAAGAUACUAACAAAAUUCUUUUCUUAUUUAUGUUCAGGUUUUAGUUUUCAUCUAGGAAUAAAGGCAAGCUCCAUUUGGAGUAAAGUGAAACUUCUAGCUUCGUGUCCGAAUUCGUUAAAUAAAUGUCGGGAUGUAUCGUCUUUGAGCUAUAAUAUUUCUGAUCCAGACAAUAUCUAUUUUGUUUCUUUGGUGGCAAUCUUGCACUUCCUGGUCUUAGUCUAUUCAAGUGACAGACAAAUCAAAAGGGAGAAGCGAGAUUAAUUUAUUUGUGAUCUCUUUGAUUUAUUUGUGCAUAUAUCAAUAUGAACGUGUAUGAUAUUUUUCUAUUUAUUGAAGAUUUUUUUACUGUAACCUGUUAUUGUGUUUGUCAAAAGGUGUUAAUAAAGAAUCACAUUCAAUUUCUGUUAAAUUAUCAGUAUUUGUUUCUUUCUAACAACUACCAUUCAUGCAAAUGUGGCUAUUAAAAAAAGCUCCAAUGACACAUAAAAAGCUUCCAAACAAUAUAUAAACAAAGAUGCAUUGUUUUCUGUUAAGAAGGGGACAGGGUUACGGUUACUUGUGUACCAAGUUAGUUAUCCAUGCUUUCUUGUUCAUAGGAUUUAUAUGGUGUAGUUGCACUUAGUUGCUAAAUGUAUGCAAGCUUUUCCUUUCUAUAAAUAAGCACACCUACUAUCAUUCUUCUCCACAUUCCUUUCUACUCUUCUAUCAUGAAUUGUUCAUCCACAUAAGAUGGUCACAGAGCACACCUAAUACUCUGCUACUGGUGUAUCAGUUCCUUUCCACCAGAAACUUAUGAUCUCUAAUUGAAAGAGAUCCUAAAGUUUUAAGAUUUCUACAAAAUACAUUAUUCUCAUUUUUGUACAAGUAUGAUACAAUUAUUCCCAAGUAUUAUUUAUUCUAAGGAAUAGAAUUUAGUUGUGGUUUCUCUAUUUAACCAACAUUUAUUUUUAAAUAACUAAAUUUAAAAAAAAAAUCCUGAAAUUAUUAAGUACAUACCUAACACAUUGUAAAAUUUUGUUCCCAAAGAAAAUAUUUUUGGCAAUAGAAUUUUCAGGAACUUCAUUCCUAGGAAUAUAAUUCUAUACUAAGAGAAGAGCUUAAGCAUUGAUACAUAACAAGACCAAUCCAUAUCCUAAUCACAAUCCUACUUUCACUAAAUACUUUCACUUAAGUGUGGUCUUGGAAAGGACAAAUGAAGAAAGACAUUCCAGAGGUAUGGUAAGGGACAAUAUCUGCAGUUAUGCACAUAUUGCAAGAUUGUGAGGAACUACCGGACUGAUUUGAUUCACCAAAAAAUUUGGAAUAAAUAUUUCAGCCCAGAACUCAGACAAUGACUGGAUUGGAACCUUUCAGCUUCUAAUAUCGGUACUGUCCAAGGAAAUAGUCAUUCUCUUUUUGGAGUAGCUGUGAAGGAUUUAUGGAAAGAUAGAACUAAGCUGGUCUUUUCUAGAAACACCGCGAUUGGAACUACUCUAUUUUGGCUUGUAGCCAAUCCGGCUAAGUUUAUUAACAAUGUAGUUUGUACUCAAGCUCACAGUCACGAUGUUGUCAGCAACAGUGGGCAUAUUGUUUAGGUAGCCUGGAAUUUUCCUCCCCAACACUUCUUCAAAGUGAAUAUGAUGGAUCUCUACGGGAUUAUGUUAGUUUCCAGGAUCGAACUCAGAACCUCCUGAUUAUAACUCCUUCAAUGUAUGUCCCUUACCCACGUGGGGCCUCGGCUGUAAUUGUUAACAUGGUAAAAUUUGGCUCUUCCAAUAAUGGUUUUAUCCAAACUCGAGGUUGUUUAUCGUCUCCAACAAUCAGAUUGGAGAAUACUAGUGGUUCAUGCAUUUGAACAAACCAACUGUUGUGCAGAUUUUCUAGUUGAUUUUGUUUUUCCUUUUUUGAGUAUUUUAUUAGCCAAUGAUAUAAGAGGUUGUAGCCUACCUCUUUUGAUUUCUUAAGACAAUCACUUUUGCAUUAGAAAAAAACGACCCUACAUAAAAUUAAUGAUUGAAUUAAGAUAUAACUUCAGUUUGAAAUAUUGUAAAAUUCUAUACCACCAAAAACUGAGAAUUUUAGAACCAUACAGGUUGGUGGAGUGGUCAUCCAGAUAACUUUAACAUAAUUAACAGUCCAAAAAGUAAAUAGCUUUAUCCUUUAUUUUCAAUCUGAUGUGAUUUACUCUUAUCUGUUAAACAUUAUAAUUAAGAAUCCAAAGGGAACACUCACCUAAUCUCUCUCUUUUUUCUAGCUUUUUCACUAAACCACUGUGUCUGUGGUUACCACAUUUCCUUAUGGAAUCAAUAUCCAAUUUAUGUUAAAAACCAUUUCUACAUUUUGUGUUAAAAAUGAUCUAAACAAAGAUGAUUUAUUUCUCUUAAAUUCAACAUAGAUCAUAUUUACAUGGUUCAAACUUUCUAUUACACGGCAUUGACUUAGUUGCUUCACAUGGGGACACAACUAAUGCAUAUAUUAUUUUAUAUGCUUAUAGUAAUUUUAACAAGUGGCAAUGGGGCAUAUGUUUUGUCAAAAAAACACAAAAAACAGGAGGCAUGUGCAACUGAAGUCACUGCCAGCUUGGCACUAAGAUAUAGUAAAAUAAUUGACAUUUGAAGAAAACAAAGACGUUGCUACAUUUCUAUUCAAACAAGCGACAUCAAUAUCAGACAAUGGUGCUACAUUUAAUAAUACUACAGCUAUCCCCAUAAGCACCUCUUAGAAAGAAAAAAAAAUAUCCAUUAAAUUAAUGUUGGAAGAGUUAGCAACAUGUCCUCUCCCAAAAAAACUCAUGUUUGAUUCCUAGAGUCGUCCAUUUCGAAAGAAGCUCAACCCUGAUAAUAAAAACCUAGAUGUUAUGCUGCAGACUUAAAGAUCAAUUUCAUAAUGGAUCCAAAGGGCCUAAGCUGUGUGGGAUACUUAAGGGGGUAUAUUGAGGCUAAGGGUCAAAGAUCUUAAUUAUGGUCGGUUAAAAAAAGAAGAAAAAAAAAUUAUCUCUAAAUAUAAAGUCAACAAUAUUUCAAAUUGCAAGAUACAUUUAUUUAUUUUUUAAAUAUGUAUAUACCUCUUAUUAAUACUUACUAAUUUGUUUUGAGUGAUAAAAAGUUACGAGUUAGACAGAUCAGCACAUAAAAAAAGUAUUUGAAAAACAUCUACCAACAAAAUAAACACAUUAAAAACAAUACUACUUUUUUACAAUACUGUAUGUGAAAAUGACAAAAUCUUGAAAAAGAUGGAGGUAACAUGUACUCUUUUUUUUUUAGAGGGGAGCAUGUACUUUUCCACUAACAAUGUUGAUAAGAAACAUAUAAAAUACUAUUAGAGAAAGAAAAAAAAUAAUAAAUAAAGAAAUAUAUAAAAUACUGAGGAAUGACUCACUCAUGUCAAAUUUUAGCAAGGGAGAAGUGAUAUCACAUCAUUUUAGAAGAGGAAUGAGAAUAGAUAGAUCUAAUUUUUCUAGUAAGUUUGAAUAGUAGAAUCAUACUUCUUUGUCUUUUGUGAAAAUUUCAUAUUAUGGGAUCUAUUACUAGAAUACAGGUGAUUUUAUUCUGGAAGAUUGACUUUUUAUUAAAAUAAAAUAAAAGUACAUUUUUUAUUUCCAAAUGCUUAGUUGUUCAUUUAUAAAUAUUACAUUAUCCAACAGCACCAAACCCUAUUUCAUAACGGUACUCUGCACGUUUCAUUCAUUUACUGGUGCCUUAGUUUUUUGUUACAAACAGACAUUGAUCAGAGGAACAAAUGUAGAGACAAAUUGAAGAUAAUAUAUCACAUAAUAUUGUAGACACACCUUCACAUACAAAUGGGGUAAAGUCCCUCAUAGUAGUAUUAGAAAUAACACUUAGAGUAAAAUUUUGCUAAAUUUAACAUGAAAAUAAGUGUAAUGUAUUUUAUAGGCAGCUAUACAUAAUUAUUAAUUAGAACAAUUUUUUACACUGUCAAACAAAAAUUGAACAAUUUUUUACUAGCUUUAUGCUUUAUGAUGUUUUGAUUCCAUGUGCACAUUUCAAUUUUAGAACUAUUCCUUUCUAUGUUACUGAAAUAAUUCUAUCAUUAGGCAUUGACAUUUCCAUUAUGCGUGCACGUUAAAGUGUUUUCCCAAACAGAGAAAUAUUAAGAAAGGUUAAACUUUUGACUUAAAGACACAACUAAAAUAAGAUCCAAGGAAAACCCCAUUGAUUAUUUCUUGCACAAAAUUAAAAACCCCAUUGAUUAUUUCUUGCACAAAAUUAAAAUGCUAAUAAUUUUUCCUGGUCUAUAUUUUUCUCCUUCCGGGAAAUGGCAACAUCACAUGUUCAUCUCAUAAUUGAGAAAACACAUGUCUGGGAAAAUAUCUUAAAGAAAAGGCAGUAAAGUAAUAAAAAGUGCACCAAAUAGAGAUUAACUAGUACUCUUUGCAUGUCAACUAAGUGGUAUAAUUAUGUAUAUCACAUUCUUAAUAUUGAUUAUCUUGAUUGCACGAUAAGCCCCUCAAAUUGCUCAAUCGAUGAUUGCUUGAUAAGCCCAUCAAAUUGCCCAAUCGAUCGAAUCGUAACUUUCGAUAGACAUUUUUUUUAAGAAAACCCAAUUGGAUCAUAACUCCCCAUAGUCAUUUAUUUGAAAUUGUGAGCAAUUUGAUAACUUAUUGAGCAAUCACCAUUGAUUUUAGUCUCAAUUUAUCCUAAUGUUGUAACCCUGGAAUAAUGGAACAGUGAGUAAAUUUGGUUUCUCCGUCUCAAAAUAAGUGUCACAAUUUAACCAUGUGCACUACUCAUCAAAUCUACUUUGACAACAUUUUUUUUACUAAUAUAUAAAGACAAUGUUAGUACAUUACAUGUUCGAUUUGUCUUAGUUAAUGUUUUUAAAAUAUCGACUUUAUUAUAAUUUUUCUUAAUAGACAAUCAAAAAUAUCAAUUGUCAAAAUUGUGUAUUGAUAUGUAUGAAAAUCAAACUAUAACACUUACUUUGAGACGAAGAGAAUAACUAUUAAAAACUAAUGUUCAAAUAGAAAGAAAAGAAAACAAAGAUUCCAUACAAAGCUUGCAAAAUAGCUACAAUCAUAACCUAGAACAAAAAUCAUGACCACACACUAUAUCCAUUUUCCUUUUCCUAAAAAGCAAUUGAAGAUAAAAAAAAAAAAAAUAAUAAAUAAAAAAAAAAAAAAAAAAAAAAAAAANACCACCAUACUACUACAAAUCCCCACCUCCACCAUCGCCUUCUCCUCCACCACCAUACUACUACAAAUCCCCACCUCCACCAUCGCCUUCUCCUCCACCACCAUACUACUACAAAUCCCCACCUCCACCAUCGCCUUCUCCUCCACCACCAUACUACUACAAAUCCCCACCUCCACCAUCGCCUUCUCCUCCACCACCAUACUACUACAAAUCCCCACCUCCACCAUCGCCUUCUCCUCCACCACCAUACUACUACAAAUCCCCACCUCCACCAUCGCCUUCUCCUCCACCACCAUACUACUACAAAUCCCCACCUCCACCAUCGCCUUCUCCUCCACCACCAUACUACUACAAAUCCCCACCUCCACCAUCGCCUUCUCCUCCACCACCAUACUACUACAAAUCCCCACCUCCACCAUCGCCUUCUCCUCCACCACCAUACUACUACAAAUCCCCACCUCCACCAUCGCCUUCUCCUCCACCACCAUACUACUACAAAUCCCCACCUCCACCAUCGCCUUCUCCUCCACCACCAUACUACUACAAAUCCCCACCUCCACCAUCGCCUUCUCCUCCACCACCAUACUACUACAAAUCCCCACCUCCACCAUCGCCUUCUCCUCCACCACCAUACUACUACAAAUCCCCACCUCCACCAUCGCCUUCUCCUCCACCACCAUACUACUACAAAUCCCCACCUCCACCAUCGCCUUCUCCUCCACCACCAUACUACUACAAAUCCCCACCUCCACCAUCGCCUUCUCCUCCACCACCAUACUACUACAAAUCCCCACCUCCACCAUCGCCUUCUCCUCCACCACCAUACUACUACAAAUCCCCACCUCCACCAUCGCCUUCUCCUCCACCACCAUACUACUACAAAUCCCCACCUCCACCAUCGCCUUCUCCUCCACCACCAUACUACUACAAAUCCCCACCUCCACCAUCGCCUUCUCCUCCACCACCAUACUACUACAAAUCCCCACCUCCACCAUCGCCUUCUCCUCCACCACCAUACUACUACAAAUCCCCACCUCCACCAUCGCCUUCUCCUCCACCACCAUACUACUACAAAUCCCCACCUCCACCAUCGCCUUCUCCUCCACCACCAUACUACUACAAAUCCCCACCUCCACCAUCGCCUUCUCCUCCACCACCAUACUACUACAAAUCCCCACCUCCACCAUCGCCUUCUCCUCCACCACCAUACUACUACAAAUCCCCACCUCCACCAUCGCCUUCUCCUCCACCACCAUACUACUACAAAUCCCCACCUCCACCAUCGCCUUCUCCUCCACCACCAUACUACUACAAAUCCCCACCUCCACCAUCGCCUUCUCCUCCACCACCAUACUACUACAAAUCCCCACCUCCACCAUCGCCUUCUCCUCCCCCACCUUACUAUUACAAAUCCCCACCGCCACCUUCACCAUCUCCCCCACCACCCUACUACUAUAAAUCACCCCCACCACCUUCACCAUCUCCUCCACCACCAUACUACUACAAAUCACCCCCACCGCCAUAUGAACACAAGACUAAACCAUACUAUUACAAGUCUCCUCCACCACCAUAUGAACACAAGACUAAACCAUACUAUUACAAGUCCCCACCACCACCUUCACCAUCUCCUCCACCACCAUACUAUUACAAGUCCCCACCACCACCUUCACCGUCUCCACCCCCACCAUACUACUACAAAUCACCUCCUCCUCCAUCACCUAUUCCCCAUACACCUUACUACUACAAGUCCCCACCACCACCUAAGGUUCUUCCACCACCAUACUAUUACAACUCUCCUCCUCCACCUGUUGUGUAUCAUCACCCUCAUCCCUACCACCAUGCAUUGAUCGUGAAGGUAGUGGGUAACGUCUACAG
This 10860-nucleotide long non-coding RNA is filed under the name Medicago truncatula (barrel medic). RNAcentral describes it as "long non-coding RNA (MTRU_LNC000785)". Lineage: Eukaryota; Viridiplantae; Streptophyta; Magnoliopsida; Fabales; Fabaceae. The record is from RNAcentral.